UAGGGAAUCUUCGGCAAUGGACGGAAGUCUGACCUAGCAACGCCGCGUGAGUGAAGAAGGUUUUCGGAUCGUAAAGCUCUGUUGUAAGAGAAGAACGAGUGCGAGAGUGGAAAGUUCACACUGUGACGGUAUCUUACCAGAAAGGGACGGCUAACUACGUGCCAGCAGCCGCGGUAAUACGUAGGUCCCGAGCGUUGUCCGGAUUUAUUGGGCGUAAAGCGAGCGCAGGCGGUUAGAUAAGUCUGAAGUUAAAGGCUGUGGCUUAACCAUAGUACGCUUUGGAAACUGUUUAACUUGAGUGCAAGAGGGGAGAGUGGAAUUCCAUGUGUAGCGGUGAAAUGCGUAGAUAUAUGGAGGAACACCGGUGGCGAAAGCGGCUCUCUGGCUUGUAACUGACGCUGAGGCUCGAAAGCGUGGGGAGCAAACAGGAUUAGAUACCCUGGUAGUCCACGCCGUAAACGAUGAGUGCUAGGUGUUAGACCCUCUCCGGGGUUUAGUGCCGUAGCUAACGCAUUAAGCACUCCGCCUGGGGAGUACGACCGCAAGGUCG
RNAcentral lists this ribosomal RNA (550 nucleotides) under uncultured bacterium. RNAcentral describes it as "bacterial SSU rRNA". It matches the Rfam family "Bacterial small subunit ribosomal RNA", at positions 355 to 896 of the family's 1533-position model. The record is from RNAcentral.